Molecule: ribosomal RNA, 398 nt
Filed under: Vibrio cholerae
Lineage: Bacteria; Pseudomonadati; Pseudomonadota; Gammaproteobacteria; Vibrionales; Vibrionaceae
Description: partial 23S ribosomal RNA
Rfam family: Bacterial large subunit ribosomal RNA
Source: RNAcentral
GUUUGGCACCUCGAUGUCGGCUCAUCACAUCCUGGGGCUGAAGUCGGUCCCAAGGGUAUGGCUGUUCGCCAUUUAAAGUGGUACGCGAGCUGGGUUUAGAACGUCGUGAGACAGUUCGGUCCCUAUCUGCCGUGGGCGUUGGAAGAUUGAAGGGGGCUGCUCCUAGUACGAGAGGACCGGAGUGGACGAACCUCUGGUGUUCGGGUUGUGUCGCCAGACGCAUUGCCCGGUAGCUAAGUUCGGAAUUGAUAAGCGCUGAAAGCAUCUAAGCGCGAAGCGAGCCCUGAGAUGAGUCUUCCCUGAUACUUUAAGUAUCCUAAAGGGUUGUUCGAGACUAGAACGUUGAUAGGCAGGGUGUGUAAGCGUUGUGAGGCGUUGAGCUAACCUGUACUAAUUGC